RNAcentral lists this ribosomal RNA (1106 nucleotides) under Vietnamese cassava phytoplasma. RNAcentral's name for it is "bacterial SSU rRNA". It matches the Rfam family "Bacterial small subunit ribosomal RNA", at positions 207 to 1322 of the family's 1533-position model. Lineage: Bacteria; Bacillati; Mycoplasmatota; Mollicutes; Acholeplasmatales; Acholeplasmataceae. The record is from RNAcentral.
UAGCAUAGGUAUGCUUAGGGAGGAGCUUGCGUCACAUUAGUUAGUUGGUGGGGUAAAGGCCUACCAAGACUAUGAUGUGUAGCCGGGCUGAGAGGUUGAACGGCCACAUUGGGACUAGACACGGCCCAAACUCCUACGGGAGGCAGCAGUAGGGAAUUUUCGGCAAUGGAGGAAACUCUGACCGAGCAACGCCGCGUGAACGAUGAAGUAUUUCGGUACGUAAAGUUCUUUUAUUAGGGAAGAAUAAAUGAUGGAAAAAUCAUUCUGACGGUACCUAAUGAAUAAGCCCCGGCUAACUAUGUGCCAGCAGCCGCGGUAAUACAUAGGGGGCAAGCGUUAUCCGGAAUUAUUGGGCGUAAAGGGUGCGUAGGCGGUUAAAUAAGUUUAUGGUCUAAGUGCAAUGCUCAACAUUGUGAUGUAUAAAAACUGUUUAGCUAGAGUAAGAUAGAGGCAAGUGGAAUUCCAUGUGUAGUGGUAAAAUGCGUAAAUAUAUGGAGGAACACCAGUAGCGAAGGCGGCUUGCUGGGUCUUUACUGACGCUGAGGCACGAAAGCGUGGGGAGCAAACAGGAUUAGAUACCCUGGUAGUCCACGCCGUAAACGAUGAGUACUAAACGUUGGGUAAAACCAGUGUUGAAGUUAACACAUUAAGUACUCCGCCUGAGUAGUACGUACGCAAGUAUGAAACUUAAAGGAAUUGACGGGACUCCGCACAAGCGGUGGAUCAUGUUGUUUAAUUCGAAGGUACCCGAAAAACCUCACCAGGUCUUGACAUGCUUCUGCAAAGCUGUAGAAACACAGUGGAGGUUAUCAGUUGCACAGGUGGUGCAUGGUUGUCGUCAGCUCGUGUCGUGAGAUGUGGGUUAAGUCCCGCAACGAGCGCAACCCUUAUUGUUAGUUACCAGCACGUAAUGGUGGGGACUUUAGCAAGACUGCCAGUGAUAAAUUGGAGGAAGGUGGGGACGACGUCAAAUCAUCAUGCCCCUUAUGACCUGGGCUACAAACGUGAUACAAUGGCUGUUACAAAGGGUAGCUGAAGCGCAAGUUUUUGGCGAAUCUCAAAAAAACAGUCUCAGUUCGGAUUGAAGUCUGCAACUCGACUUCAUG